Molecule: long non-coding RNA, 363 nt
Organism: Vicia villosa (hairy vetch)
Lineage: Eukaryota; Viridiplantae; Streptophyta; Magnoliopsida; Fabales; Fabaceae
Exons: 2
Source: RefSeq, a predicted model, not a curated record
UGAUGUAGGCAUAGCAUGAGUUUUUACAUUAUAAAAUGAUCAAACAAAUCUCUAUUUGUAUUAUGCAAAUUUGAAAAAACAUGGCUAAAACUCUCAAUUCCCUCUAUGCUAUGAUCCUCUUUCUUUUUCUAUUUGCUAUUGUAAAUGAAGUCAAGGCUUUUUUUGAAUGGUGCAAAUUGAAUUCUGAUUGUUAUCCAAAUGAUUGGUGCCAUUCUCCUAAUAACGCAACAUGCUACAUGGGUCAUUGUUUCUGCGUAUAGUUUACUUGCUCUUUUUUUUUUUCACAACGACAAUUAUACUGUUUAAUUAGAAUUAUCUAUAUAAAAAAAAUAAAUGAAAAUGAUCGUGUUAAGUAUUUAUAUA